AUAGCUUCUUUGCGUCAAGGAUUUUCAGAACAGGCUGAUGCUUCAAGUGGACUGACGUGAUAUUAACAUCAGUAUAUAUUUUUUUCCUUUAUUUUGGUUGUGUACGUAUAGUAACUCAUGUUAAAUAUUGGUUCCUAUUCGGGAUAAAUGCAAGUAUAGCGAUUAUAGGCAGGUGUGAGAGAGUGUUGUAUUUGAUCCCACCUGCUUUCUCCCAUGGUAGAUCGGCACAACUCACUAGACGUUUCUAUAUGAGUAAUUUGAUUUAUAAAAUUUUUCUGUAGUAGAGUGUACUUCAAAUUCAAAGCAAUUCAUUGAUCUACAAAUUAGCUUGACACCCUAAGUUGCCUUUACGAAUUAACGAAUUAUUCUUUUACCCCAGAAAUCUCUACAAUACCUCGUUCAUCACUGUGCUAACUAUUUCACAAUUCGAAAAAAUACUAAACUCUCACAUUGACAAUAGUACUACUCUAUCCGCUUCAAUUUAUGUGAACCUGUUUGAUUGGGUACGGAAUUUAAGAAAAAAUGAAGACUUUUAGAAUUUUGGUUCUAAACAAGUCAAAAAGGGCCUAGAGUAUUUGUGUGCUUCUCAUUAAGGGUAGAAUUGUAAGUUUAAGCUAAAUUAUUACCAAAUUUAAAAAGGAGUCAUUCUUUUUUGAACGGACUAAAAAGGAAAUAGAUUCACAUAAACUGAAAGUUGAAACAGAGGAGUAUAUUUUAAGGAACGGUCAAAAUUAGGGAGAAAUUCAAAAAUAGCCAAAUUUACAACUGGUCGUUCAAAAAUUGCCUAGUUUCAAAAGUAAUCGAAAUUUAGCCACUUUUCAUAUAAAGAUAAAUCUGAGCGAAAACACUGUUCAAAACCCGGAAAAUUGCUAGUAUAUUAUGCUGGUGUUCCAGCAUAAGUGUACUUGAACUCCAACAUAUUAUACUGGAAUUCCAGGAUAAGUAUGCUGGAACUCCAGCAUAAUAUGAUGGAGUUCCAGCAUAAGUACACUAGAAAUCCUGCAUAAUACACUGGAGUUCCAGCAAGUAUACCGAUCCAGCAUAAUAUACUGGAGUUUGGAGCACCAGUGCUCCAGUAUCUAGUAUAUUAUACUGGAGCCAGCAAAGUAUACCGGUCCAGCAUAAUAUGCUGGAGUUCAUACACAAGUGCACCAAACUCCAGUAUAUUAUGCUAGAUCGGUCUCUGUUGCAGCAAAAUAGUGGCUAUUUUUCAUUGACUUGGUAAACGCUGGCUAUUUUUGAAUGAUCAGUCCGAAAACUGGCUAUACCGUGCUAUUUUUACUCAAAAUUAAGAUAAUAGUUGGGUCUGAGCAACCUGUGCGGCCCAUCUAUUGGCCGUGAGUCAACACAACGUUAGACAGCUCGCAUAACAGAGGCUGAGAGCUGAAGUUCUUCAUAGGCUAUACUUUGAGAAAUACAGAUUCUAUACACCAUCAAGAUGAGCUUUUGGUUUGACACGUCUGUUUAACCUUAAAAUUGGAUAACACUUAAACUUAUAAUAUGGUCUUAAGGAUACGUGAUUUCACCUAAUAUCAAUUGAUAAAUGCAAAGAGUAAUAAUAGACAUUAACAAUAAUAUAAGGCAAACUAGUGCUUGAACAGAAUUCAGCCCUCGAGCUUGGAUACCCUCGGGCUAGUUGUGCAAGAACAGUUAAAAUGCAACAAGCUAAUGAACAAGAGAAUGUGAAUUAAAGAGAGAAUAUUGUAUUGCUUUGAUCUGCGUGAACGUAAGGUAUUUACAAAAUGAUUAGAACCAUCUUUAUAUAGUAGAAGAAACCUAUCUAUGGUACAAUUUUAAUUAUGGAAGUAAAUCCCAUGAUUAGCCUAAACAAUCGCCCUCGAUUUGAUCUAUUCUGAAAUUUUCGCCGUGAUCUUUGACCGGUUACAAAUAUCUUGCUUUUCAGUUAUUGCGCUUUGCUCGAAGUCUGUUAUAUUUGGUCUCGAUCACUGCUGGCCUCGAUCUCGACAAGCACUUCGAUUCUUGAACUCGAUACCUUGUCUUCGUGCUCUAGUCUGAUCCAUUACGAGGCUAACCCUCGAUGCACUUUCCUGGUCUCGAUCAAAUAGUAAAAUCGGGUAGGCCUGGUUUUAACCGUAUACAGAUAGUCCCCUCAUUUCUUAGAAUAUAUUGAGAAGAAACGAAUUGAGCCUUCGAUUUUGUACCUCGAUCUGUCACGACGUCAUCCUUGUGACAUAAGUGAUGGAUAUGACCGAAACGUCCUGUCGGUACAUUUCCCAAAAUUAUUGAUGAGCGUCAGUUGGCGGUCGGCCACCAGUGCCUUUGAACCGUCGCCAUGAAUCCCUUAAAUAAGUCUUCUUCUCAUUUCCUCAAACUUUACUUUGAAUUUUUUUUACUAAUCUUCAAAAUUCCUUUGAGUUCUUCAAGUUUAUCUGCAAAUCUUCAAAGCUCUUUACAUCUUUUAAGCCUUUUUGUUCUGCAAAAUCUCUAGGCUUCGUUAUCUGCUUUCCCUCAAAACAACAUGCCUUAUCCUCUUCUUAUUUCUCUAAGUUUACAAAAAAUGGCGAAAAUGUCAAAAAUUGUUCCUCAAAAGGAGAAAGCCUCUUCAUCGCGGCCAGCCAGCGACAAAAUAUCGGUGGAGCCGCGCCUUGAGGAGUGCGUUCCCUAGAAGGGGUGUGUCCUUAAUUCCGACUUCAAAGUCGAGAAGACUUCAUCGGUCCCUGGUCGGUGCGAGCCUAUGUCGAGAUAUAUAUGCUCGAUAACUGAGAGUGACCUUGAUCAGGUAAAGAAAGAUUGCCAUUGGAAAGGUAAAUAAGUUGUGAUUCCGGCCCCCGAAGAAGACAUCACUACUGAUAUGGAAGGGUUUCUAAGUGUUUACACUUACCCUUUCACCCUGGGCUUUGUCGAUCCCGUCAAUAUCAAUUUUUGCCACUAAUAUCAAAUAACCCUCGGUCAUAUCCAUCUUUCUUUUUGGAGGAUUGUCAUUCUGCUCCAAUUUUUCGCGAACAAAGCCAAAGGGAUGCCUUUCACCCUCGACCAACUCAUCAGGUUGUACAGCCCCUGUCUCUUUCGAGGUGGGUUAAUAAAACUCCAACGUCGGGACACCAAUGUGUUAUUCUCGAGUAUAGAUAAGGACAAUGAUCGAGUGUGGAUGGGAAGGUUCGUUCAAGUGAAGACUCCUGACCUAAUCUCGGCAGGGAAAAUGCCAUUUCCAGAAGAGUGGAAUAUGAACCGUAAAUACAAUACUGCCUUAAGCUUCCACUUAUUAUUUUGUUUCCCUUUGCUUCUUCUUAUCGACAUUCCUUUCUAUAAUGUAGCGGUCUCUUGGAUGCCCGGUACAAUUCCUGACCUCAAGAGCUGGGUUCGAAAACUAGCUUCGACCUCCUCGUACGCUGAGCACUCAUGGUGCGAUUUGGCAAAGGUUUGAUGUGAGGCCAAAAAUCAUGGUAAGCCCUUUUUCACAUACUUGAUGAUUCUCGCUAAAAUGUUUCUUUUCCUACUUACUUGACUCCCUUUCAUAUAGGCCUUGGAAAAGACGCUGUCAUGAGGCCCCGUCUAGGGAGGAUGAGGUUUUACCCCCGGCCUCGAAGCCAGUGAAGGAUAAGAAGAGAAAAAGAAUCUCAACCUCCGAGACUCCAAAGUCCAAGAAGAUCAAGGCUCAUAAAUCGAAGAAAGACACUGCCGUCCUGCCUGCGGAUAUUGUUCAACGACUAAGAGAUGAAAAAGAGGAAAAUGAAGAUGCUAGCUUUGAGCUAGUGUCCCGAACGAAGAGGAGUAUCUAGGCCCAAAGGUCUCUGAGUCGAUGAGGGUCGAAGAGAUUCCGCCUGGAAGAGGGUCCGAGUAAAGUCCCUAAGUCAUCAGAGGCUUAAGAUGCCUCUUGCCAAAAUGCGAAUCGGCGGGUGUGUCUGAAAGGGCUGGCUCCGAGGCCCUUCAAAAUGAAGAGAACGCCCCAAGUGACUUACUUGGAGCAAUAGAAAUUGGCGAUUUGCCGAUCCUCCCUACAUUUUCUGAGGGGCAAAUUCAGGAAGCCUAGGCUAUAGGGACCCCCAAUGUGGAAAGAGCCCACGAAAGGGAGGACCUUUCCGUGGUUGCUUUACGGGAGUCAAAGAUGUUACUGAUCUGACUGAUGCAUCGAGUCUCUUUGAUAAGGCUCAACGACUUCUGAGCUGGGUAAGCCUCAGUUCCCUUCAUCGAUAUUACGCUUGUAUCUAUUUCUUCUUGCCUAAUUUCCUUUCUUUCUACAUAGGCCUUUGACACUUCAUCGGGAAGCAUUUUCUAAAUCACGGGCAGAGCUGAGCCGAUGUAAGGUCGAUCUUCAAAGGCUCACGGAGGAGAGAAAUGCCCUCAAACUUCUCAGUGGACAAAAAAAGAGGAGAUCUAGGACCUCCAAGCCGAAUUGGUCACAGCUCAUAAAGAGUAGAUCGACCUGAUUGAGCAGGUAAUGAAAAUAUUUAGAAGCUCAAUGUAUCAAUUCGGGAACGACGACUAAUACUUCGAUCCUGCAGGUUCAGCAGAAGGCCGAAAAGAUCGAACAGUUCCGUGAGGAGGCCAACAUGAUGAGGGCGGAGACUCUGGGGUGGAAAUAAGACAUGGAUCGCCUUGCCUACGAGAAAGAUAUUGCUUGAGCCCAACUGUCAUCGGCCAAACAUCAUCUCCAAAGCAUGAAGGAGGAAAGCUCGGCCUGAUCCAAGAAAAUUGAGGAGCUUGAGGCUCGAUUGUCCGCCGAACUUGCAAAGGUCACAUUUGAGCCAGAAAAUGUAAAGGCUGAUGCGGAGGCGAUCGUGGCCGUCUACCGAGAUGAUGCUGAAGCUACUCAAGCUCGAGCAAAGAAAGUUGCUGACACCACUCAGACUCGAUCAUAUUGGGCUGCCGAGCAUGACAAGUACCAAUAUCGAAGAGAGACUCUCGAGGAGAUUCAUGCUCGCGGCUUUAACCUUGCUGUCGAGAUUGAGAAUGCGAAAGAGCUCGAGGCCGAAGACAAAACAUUGCUCUCUUUCGAUGAUGAUGAUUCCGGGAGCGUGAGUGGAUCCGAGAGUGGAGGGGAUUCCGAUUGCAAAGGUGUAGCUCCCGAGGAAAAUUAGGCACUUAGGAUUUUUUUUUAAUUUUUGUGUGGGAUCCUUGAUAACUAGGGAUUCUAGCCUCUUUUAUGCUCCUUUUUGCUUAGGUUUUGGUUUAAAAUUAUGUAUAAGCAUUCCCGAAAGCUAACUUAUUGUGCUUUUUUGCAGUGUUUGGUCAAAAAGAGACAAGGAAGUCAUAAUCAUCUCAAAAAGGAGUGAAACUUGCACAAGCUCAAAGUUGAAAUCAAUGGGCGCUGACAGCGAGAAAUAGCAGCAGACGGGGAGGGUCUACUACUGAGGCGGUCCUGAUGCCUCUCUUAGCAGAUUGACAAUCAAAGAACUAAGUUCGUAGCUUAAAUUGAAGAGCACGGUCCGUGAACAUAUUUCACGGCCGCGGUUUGAGGAGCAUUGAGGUAGUUGAUUUUCCGCUCUCAGUGGACUCAGAGUUCAAACCAAGUUUAGAGGAGAAGAACCACGGUCCGCUCUUUCUUUUGCGUGGCCGCAGAAGUCCAAACGCCGAGGCGACCCAUUUUCCACGAUCGGUGGAAUCUCUGUAGGGGUAAUUUUAUCCGAAAAAUUUAGUUGUGUAUAAAUAGUUCUUUAUUAGAUUUUUAGGGCAUAUGUUGUUUUAUGGAGCACGUGAACAACCGCUUUUUACCUUUUUGAGUAAUUUUAGAACAUCUUUAGCAAUUAAUCUUAAAUUUUACUCUUGUAAUUACUUUUUAUGGCUUAUAUUUCAUCUCCAUCUUUGAUUUCUUCUUUGAUUAUGAGUAGCUAAACCCAUUAGCUAGGGUUGUGACCCAACCCUAGUGUGGGUAUUUAAUGGUCUUCAAAUUUAGGGCUUAAAUAUUUAUGGGUUAAUAAUAUUUAACUUGAUUUAUGCUUUAAUUGUUGAAUUGGUGGUUGCAAACACGAUUUGUGCCUUUUUGACUUAGGCUCUUCUUGAGAAAGAAAGACUAAGUCUAGGAAAUUCAGGCUAACACGGAAAUGGGGUGCAUUCAAGAGAUUGACAGCCCCAAUUAAAGGGUUAAACCUAGAGAUAGUAAUACCCGACUUGAGCCAAUUUUGCUUGCAUUUUUAAACACCCAAUUGGGCUUGAGAAAUCCAAUUAGGGCAAAGCCACUCAAACUACCGAGAGGUAUAGAGUGAGUAACUAUGUGCAAUGGUUAUAUUAUGAUCCCAAUCACAACAAGUUUGCCCUAAGUUUUAGACCCCGUUAGAUACCCACCUAGGUGUAAGUCACUUCCUUAGUGCCUUUUUACUAAUUGAGAAAACAUUAGAAAAAUAUCAUACUUAGCUUAUUUUUAUUCUUCAUUAGUGUUAAAAGUAGAAUAGUAACCAAAACAAAGAAUGAUUGGAAGUGCAAUCAAGAGCAUCACACAUAGCUAGAUUAGAUAGAAACCCAAUUCCAAACCAAUAUUAGCUCUCUAUGGAUUUGAUCCCGACCUUUCGGGUAAAAGCUACAUCGACCACUGUUUCCAUUCUAUAAUGGUAUAGGAUUGGAGCUGAUCACGUUUGGCGCCAUUGUCGGGGAGCUAAGCGGGUUUGGCUAUCUAUCUGACUAGUUUUGUGUCUUGUUUUUCUUUCCUUCUAUUUUACUAACUUGUGUGAGUCAAUUGAUUUAGGUGCAAAAUGGCAAACAAUGAUCCUCUUGAAAAUGUUCUCCCGGGGGAUGAGGUAGAUGAUAAUGGUGAAGAUGAGGUGCCUCUAGUACCUCAAUUACAAAGAAGAGGCCGCCAGGCCAAUGAAAACAUUCCAUACCCUCCCCCAGCUACUCCAAAAGUCGUUCCUCGUGUUCUUACAAAUAAAGGAUACGCAAGUGCAAUUGUCCUACCCCGGAUCUGGGCGGGCAAUUUCUAAAUUACAAAUGCGAUGUUAACUUUAUUGGAGCAUCGAGGGUACUUCACAGGCGCUCCCCAUCAAAAUUCAUAUAAACAUCUUAAAGGCUUUGUGGAUACCUGCUGGGGAAGCAAACAUACAAAUAUGUCGGAAGAUGCAUUGAGAUUGAGAUUGUUCCCUUUUUCACUUAGAGGGAAAGCUUUGGACUGACAUGAAAGACUUCCCAACCAUUCCAUCACUACGUGGGAUGAAUUGGCAGACAAGUUUAUAGCUAAGUUUUUCUCGCCAGAGCAUAUGGCGAUAUUGAGAGAUGAGAUUUUGGCCUUCAAACAGGAACCUAAUGAACCACUUCAUGAGAUCUAGUAGAGAUAUCAGACAAUGGUGAAAGAAUGUCCGAACAAUGACAUGACCGAAGCAAUGAUCAAGCAAACAUUCUACCGCGGCAUUAACACGACAAAUCAGUGUGUAGUGAACCAGCUAGCAGGGGAAAAUUUUAUGGACACACCUUAUGCUGAGGCAUGUGAGAUCUUGGAUGUGAUGGCAGAUACUUCCUCCGCUUGGCAAAGUCAAGCUAAUGUGCCAUAGGGUGAUCCUAUUGUCAUUCACCUGCAAAAAGAGCUCCACGACCAUGGCCAGGAAAUAGUAGAUUAACUACAAUAAUGAACCAGUUGGCAAAAUCUCAAUUGACACAAGUUCAAGCACCGAGACAAGUAAAUGCUAUGGAAGGUGUCAAUAUGUUGGUCAACAAGAGGCGACAAAGAGGUCAACAAGGUCAAGGUAGUCAGGAUCAAUAUGAGCAGGGUAGUGAUGGUUUCAACCAAUAUAAUGGGUAUGAUGAGCAAAGUGAAGAAGUUCAGUACAUGAACAAUUACCAAGGGCAAAAGGGCAAUGCUCCUAAUCAACAACAACAGUGGAGAUCCCAAGGAAACUGGGGGAAUCAAAACUAACAAGGAAAUAGCAACUGGGGGAACAACAAUUAGAAUUGGGGCAAUCAGAACAACCAGGGCAACUAGAGUGGCAACAACAACAAUUGGGGAGGAAACAACAACCAAGGGGGUUGGAAUAAUAACAAUCAAGGAAAUUGGAGGCAAGGCUUUCAAAUACCUCUGAUGUAUCAACAACCAAACAACCUGCCUCUAUUUCUGUCCUAAGGUCCUAGCUCAUCAAACAAUGAGAUGGGAAGGAUGGAGAUGAUUUUUGAACAAAUGAUGAAAAAGAAUGCCGACUCUAAUGACCAGUUGGCAUCCCAUAAUACUUCAAUCUGAAACUUGAAGGUUCAACUUGGAUAAAUUUCGCAAUCUUUGAAUACUUUCCCUAAGGAGGCUCUACCUAGUGAUACGGUAGUAAACCCAAAGGGUGGGAACAAUAUCUGGCAUGCAAAAGGAAGUUGUGAGUGAUGAGGUUGAAGUUCAUGAUGAUGAUGUUCCUAUAGUUGAUGAGCAAGUGAGUGAAGAGAAUUUGAAUGCAGAAGUGAGAAUUGAUAUUCAUGAUAAUGAGGUGGAGACUCAAGAUGACGUGAACCUGUCUAGGGAACAUGUAAUAGACAUAUCAAAAAUGGUAGUGCCCAAGGCUAAGGAUCCCUUGCCAAGGCCCCCUCCACCUUAACUCAAAGACUUGCGAAGGAAAAGAAUGAAAAAUAAUUUAAGAAGUUUAUUGAGAUGAUGAAAAGCUUGUUGAUCAAUGUUCCUUUGGUGGAUGCUCUUGAACAAAUGCCAGGUUAUNNNNNNNNNNNNNNNNNNNNNNNNNAUGGCUCCAAAGCUUGAAGAUCCCGCCACUUUCACCAUUCUAUGUACCAUUGGGAGUGCUGAUUUUGCAAAGGCAUUGUGUGAUUUGGGAGAAAGUAUCAAUUUGAUGCCUUACUCCAUGUUCAAAACUUUGGGUAUUGGUAAACUAAGAGCUACUUCAAUGAGAUUGGAAAUGGCGGAUAGAACAAUGAAGAGGUCGCUUGGUAUUAUUGAUGAUGUUCUUGUCCGGGUGGACAAGUUUAUUUUGCUUGCUGACUUUGAGAUUCUGGAUUGCGAAGUCGACUAUGAGGUGUCGAUAAUAUUGGGAAGACAUUUCCUUUCAACAAGGAAGGCAUUGGUUGAUGUAGAAGCAGGGGAGCUCACCUUCCGGAUGGGUGACAAAAAAUUUGUCUUUAAUGUGUGCAAAUCAAUGAGGCAGCCGAAUAGUACUGAAGUUUGCUCUUUUGUGGAUCUUGUCACGGAGGUGAUAGUUGAUGAUACUAGUGCCAUGAUCAAUGUAGAGGAUACUUUAGACGUGGUAUUGUUGAACCUUGAUAUGAAUGAGGAUGAAGGUAGGGUGGAGUUUGUCAAUGCUUUGCAUGGAAUGGGUUUUUAUUCUUAUAAGCCCCGUAAGCUUUCUUUGGAUCUUGAGAAUAGAAAGUCUCCGCCAACAGAGCGCUCAAUUGAGGAACCUCCCAUUUUGGAGUUGAAGCCUUUGCCUUCACACCUCAUGUAUGAAUUCUUGGGCUCUAGUUCAACUUUACCUGUUAUUCUUUCUUCUUGUCUUACUAACGUGCAAGUAGAUGCCACACUGGAGGUGAUCCAAAGAAGGAAGAAGACAAUUAGAUGGACUCUAGUUGAUAUUCGAGGAAUAAGCCCCGCCUUUUGCAUGCACAAGAUUAUACUUGAAGAUGAUGCUAAGCCCUCCGUGGAACAUCAAAAGAGGUUGAACGAGGCUAUGCACGAGGUUGUCAAAAAUGAGGUGAUCAAGUGGUUAGAUACAAGGGCUGUGUACCCCAUCUCGGAUAGUUCUUGGACUUUAUCAGUGCAAUGUGUGCCGAAGAAGGGUGGUAUGACUGUGGUCACCAAUGAGCAAAAUGAGUUGAUUCCCACCAGGACUGUCACCGGAUGGAGGGUUUGCAUGGACUACCGAAAGCUGAAUAAAGUGACCCGCAAAGAUCAUUUUUAUUGCCCUUUCUUGACCAAAUGCUAGAUAGACUUUCUGGGCAUGCCUUCUACUGUUUCUUGGAUGGGUACUCAGGUUACAACUAAAUCUUGAUUGCUCCGGAAGACCUGAAGAAAACCACCUUCACAUGUUCGUAUGGAACCGUUGCUUUUUCUAGGAUUCCAUUUGGUUUGUGUAAUGCACCGACUACCUUCCAGCGGUGUAUGAUGGCUAUAUUUACCGACAUGGUGGAGGACUUAUUGGAAGUGUUCAUGGAUGAUUUCAGUGUUGUGGCUGACUCCUUUGAUGAGUGUUUAAAGAAUCUUGACAAAGUGCUAGCCUGGUGUGAAGAGACAAAUCUUGUGAUUAACUGGGAAAAAUGCCACUUUAUGGUCGAUGAGGGCAUUGUCCUUGACCAUAAGAUCUCAAAGAACAGAAUAGAGGUAGACAAGGCAAAAAUUGAAGUGAUUUCAAAGCUUCCUCUUCCUACUUCAGUCAAGUGGGGUUAGGAGUUUUCUUGGGCAUGCGGGGUUCUACCGAAGAUUUAUCAAAGACUUUUCUAAGGUAGUGAAUCCUUUGUGCAAAUUAUUGGAAAAUGAUUCUAAGUUCAUGUUUAAUGAUGAAUGCAUGGAGGCUUUUGAACUCCUCAAGUGCAAAUUGAAAACCACUCCCAUUAUUACAGCACCCAAUUGGAGUUUACCUUUUGAGCUCAUGUGUGAUGCAAGUGAUGUUGCAGUAGGAGCGGUCUUAGGUCAAAGAGUAAACACGAUGAUUCACCCAGUGUAUUAUGCAAGCAAAACAAUGAAUGAAGCUUAGGUUAAUUACACAGUGACGGAAAAAGAGUUGCUAACAAUUGUGUUUACAAUGGAAAAGUUUAGGCCUUAUCUCAUGGGUGCCAAGGUGAUAGUUCAUACUGACCAUACAGCACUCCGCUACUUGAUGAUAAAAAAGGAUUCUAAGUCUCGGUUGAUGAGAUGGGUUCUAUUUCUCCAAGAGUUUGACCUCGAGAUUGUUGAUCGAAAAGGGAGUGAAAACCAAGUGGCAGACCACUUGUCCCGCUUGGAGGUGGAGGGGAGGCCCCGUGACGGCCUUGAAAUUAAUGAUUCAUUCCCCAAUGAGCAACUCCUCUUCGUAUCUGUGAAUAGCAUGCCUUGGUUCACGAAUGUUGCCAACUUUCUUGUGACCAGUAUUGUUUCGUGUGAGCUCUCUUGUAACCAAAGGAAGAAGCUUAAACGGGAUAGCUUGAACUACUAUUGGGAUGAGCCUUAUUUGUUUAAAAUUUGUAAUGAUGGUGUGAUUCAGAGAUGUGUUCUGAAAGAGGAGAAAAUGAGUAUUCUGGAUGCUUGUCAUUCCUCUCCCUACGGUGGUCAUCAUGGCGGGGCAAGGACAGCUUCAAAGGUACUUAGCUGUGGUUUUUAUUGGCUUACAUUGUACAAGGAUGCGGGUGAACUUGUGAAGAGAUAUGAUGAGUGUUAGAGAGUAGGUGGAAUUUUAAAGAAGGAUCAAAUGCCUCUUACCACUAUUCUUGAGGUUGACAUAUUUGACGUGUGGGGCAUUGACUUCAUGGGGCCUUUUGUGAGUUCAUGUGGCAACACAUACAUUCUGGUGGCCAUUGAUUAUGUUUCCAAAUGGGUUGAGGCUGUGGCUUUACCCAACAACGAGAGCCGGAGUGUGGUGGCUUUUCUCAAGAAGAAUAUCUUUAAUCGGUUUGUCACUCCUAGAGCAAUCAUCAGUGAUGGGGGUUCUCAUUUCUGCAAUAAGGUAUUUGACACUUUGCUUGCAAAGUAUGGUGUCAAUCACAAUGUUUCAACCCCUUACCAUCCUUAGGCUAGUGGGCAAGUUGAGAUCUCCAACAGGGAGAUUAAGAGCAUAUUAUCAAAGACUAUCAAUGCAAAUAGGACUGACUGGUCAAAGAAACUAGAUGAUGCUUUGUGGGCUUACACGACUGCUUACAAGACUCCGAUUGAUAUGUCUCCGUACUGGUUGGCGUUUGGAAAAGCUUGCCAUCUACCAGUUGAGUAAGAGCACAAGGCCAUGUGAGCUUUGAAAAAGUUAAAUCAUGAAUGGGAUGUUGCAGCAAAUCUCCGGGUAGAGCAACUCAAUGAGCUUGAUGAGUUCCAGUUUCAUGCCUAUUCCAGCUUAUCCUUAUGUAAGGACAAGAUGAAGUACUUAUAUGACAAGUAUGCCCAUAGCAAGGAUUUCAAGGAAGACGACUUAGUUCUCUUAUUCAACUCCUGGUUACGACUGUUCCCGGGAAAGCUCAAGUCAAAAUAGUGUGGACCUUUUGAGGUGGUGCCUGUAACUCCGUUUGGUGCUCUAGAUUAAAAAAGUGGUGAAAUCAUCAGAGUUAAUGGGCAUAGAGGAAAGCACUAUCUUGGCAAGUUUGAUGACAGCCACGUUGUGGCAAUAAUCCAUCUCAAAUGAUUGAUGGUAACAUGCGUCGUGCCGCGACGUUAAAUCAGGCGCUUCUUGGGAGGCAACCCAUGUGUUUUUAUUAUUUUUUUAUUUUUUUCUUAGUGUAGGAUUUGUUUUGAACUAACUGGUUAUGAGAUGCAUGUAGGAAUGUUUUAUGUAGUGCAGGACUAAGCUGAAUUUUUUUUGCAACAGUCUGAAGUUGGAUCGCUGACAACGCUCCAUUUUUCGUGGUCAGCGGUGGUCAUAUCACGCGGGCUUGAAAAGUCCAAAAAGAGACUUCUCUGAAGUUUCAUCCGCGCGGUACAUUUUUCGUAGUCAGCGCUGCCUUUUCGCUGUCGCGUGCAAUUUUUCGUUAUUAGUGGCAGUUGCAAACAAGCAGCCCUUCUGUUCGUCAAAAGCGCGAACCGCAGUGAUAUUCUGCGGCUGCGCCAGGUGAGUUCUAUGGGUCCUAGGGUGCUUUCUAUAAAUAGGAGGUCAUGAGACUUUUUACACUUUUCGCUCUCUCCACUCUCAAGAAAAACUUUUUAUUGUUCACCCAAGCCCUAGUCCGCACACACAAUGAAUUAGAAGUCCACUCCCAUCACUCACCACUCAACUGGUAAUUUCAAUUCAGAAUUGUUGUUCAAUUUGUUCUUGUUUUUUUUAUUUGUUAGUUUUUGCUUCUUCUUCCUCUUUUUCUUUUAAUUUUAACUUAGGGUUCAUUAAUGUAACUAAAUUAGUGAUAAAUAGUUAGGAUUGAUUAAUGAAUACCUAGUGGGAUUAACAUUGUAGAUGAUAUCGGCUAAAUGCAUGAAAAAAUUGAAACCCUAGGUUAGCUUAGUCAAUUUUUGAAUUUCGCAGCCGCGAAUGUUUUUCUGCAGUCAGUGUACAUGAGAUAAAUUUGAGUUUGGAAGUCUUGAUUACCGCGGUCAGUGGUGGCAAAUUCCACUGACAGUGGCCAGCUUUACGCAGCCGCGCUGCUUUUCUCGCGGUCAGCGGUACUCAUGUUUAGAGAAGUAAACAAUAUGGGUCCGCAACCGCGGUCAUUUUUCCGCGGACAACGGUACAACUUCCGUCGCCGCACCUAAUUUUCUGCAGUCAGCGGCUCUGUAGAAUCAGAGGAUGGGUAGUCUAAUCCCCAUGCCUCCGCUGCUGCGCUUCUUUAUCCGCUAUCAGCGAGUCUGCAACUUGUUAAAACAUUGUCAAUUAUUCUCUACUGUACUUCACUACUUGUUUCAACACCAGUACUAACAAUCUUGCACUAAUUAUGCAUGCAGACAAUGGUUAAAUCUAGAGGAGGCAGUGAGAAAUAAAAGGAUAAAGCAGAUUCCUCCCAGGGUAGUGGAUGAGGACAAAUCAAGUUACCCCUAGCAAUCCGGCAAUCAAUUGGAAAAUGCGGAAAGUAUCAGAGCUGCAAAUAGAGCUGCAUCCCACUCCAAGGGGAGUGAGUAUUUUCCCUUCCGGGAGGCCUCAAAGAGUGACUCUUUGCCCACACAUAUACCAGACUUAUUGGGGAGAUUUAGAUUGACAGACGUGGCUACACCCCCAGCCUCUCCUAUUGCUCAUGUUUCUUCUGAGUCAUCUGAUGGCUCAGUGGAGAGUAGUAAGUCCUCAGCAUCAGCAUCUCCUACAUCUUCUUCACCUAGACAGGACCCCAUAGAUGUAGAUGCUGAGACACGUGCUAACGGGAGAGGGGGGAUACCCAGACUGGAGGCUUGGAGAGGACAAGAAACCCGAAGGUGUGGCAACAGAGGUUUGUUAGUGAGUAGGCAUAUCACAAAUUCAGGGAGUGGUGGCCUCAAAAGUCACUCAUACAUGAGCGUCAGUUUAUAGAGCGGGAUCUUCUACCCCACAUCCCCAAUGUGAAGCAACACUUUGAUGAAAGAGUGGGGUGGAAAUAUUUCACAAGCAGGGUGCCAGAUGAUAAUGAGCACCUAGUCAAGGAAUUUUAUGCCAAUGACGCCCACAUCAAAAGGGAACAUUUGUGACUAAGGUGCGGAACCUGAAGAUCAAGUUUGAUGGAAAGACUCUGAACGACUACAUUGGUUUCAAUGAUGAGGAUGAGUAGCUGUACUUAGAGAAGUGGAAAUGGAUGAGGCGGCCCGCCCGUGGUUGGUAUCACUACUUGCUCUCCCAGAUACUACUCCAUCUUGGUUGGCAACGGGGGUCCCUAUCUAUAGGAACACCCUAAAAUUUGAGACAAAGGGUUGGGAGACCUUUUUUGCAGCAGAUUAGACCCCACUACUCACGACAAUGACAUGUCGCUUCUCGGGCGAUUACAGUGGCGGUUAUCAUGGCGGGGUUCUCGAUCAAUGUCGGGAAUAUCAUGUCCAGGGUGAUCACUAGAGUGGUCAAAAAGGGUGAGAGAUCCUAACCCUUUCCGAACAUCCUCACCAUCUACUUAAAAGAUCAAGAGGUUGAAAAAAGGAAUUUCGAUACCAAGGUGAAACCCAAGAAACCCUUUUCAUGGUACAGACUUCAGGGUCCAGGAAACCCAAAAUUCAAGGGCAAAGCUACUACUUCUACUGGCCAGUCUGAAAAGCCAGUAGUAGUGGUCACUAAUCCCGAGCCUCCCACUUCCAUACCAAAGCCUUCUGCCGAACCUUCUACUUCCAUACCUCAAGUACCCUCCUCAUCAGCAUACCCGUUGACUUCACAUAUGCUUAACCAAACUCUCUUUAGCAUCAACAACUGGAUGCAGACAACAAUAUCAAAGCUGUCUGUGCUAUCCAGCUCAGUGGCAGCCCAGUCAGUUCUCACACAGCCCCAGGUGCCAACUUCAGUGGAGAAAUCUCUCAAGGAGCUUCUGGACAACUAGAAGAAGCUCAUGGACAACCAGAAGCUCAUUAUGGAGGCUUUUCCAAUUCAAGGGAAAUCAAUUAAGGAGUUGAGCAAGCAGACGAAGAAGCUGAAAAAGACACGGGCCUCAAAGGAGUCUGUGAAGCUAUCGAGAGGAGAGGGGGAGAAGAUGAAGUCAGCUGGAGACAUACCAUUGGAGCUAUUAUUAGAGGAUCCACUUCCAGCAGCUCAGACAGAGCAGGUACCAGAGCAGGAAGCUGAGGGAGAGCCUAGGAGGAGACGACUGGUUCCUUGGGCUGAUGACUUGGAGAUUCAGCUGGAGAACCCCGAGGGAAGUGCUUCAUGCUAGCCACAGGAUCUCAAUAGAGGUGAUACAGGGACCCAGCCACAGGACCCAUGCAGACAGAGGACCCAUAGGGAGUUUUCUUUACUCUCUAACCCUUCUUUGAUCUUAUUUUUUACUAUUAGCAUUGAGGGCAAUGCUAGUUGUUAUUUGGGGGGGGGGGGGGUGGUCCUAUUUUGAUUUGUGAUACUGGGAUGUAAAUAUGACACUUAAUUUUCUUUUAUUGUUAUUUCUCACUUUUGGUAUGUAUAUAACUUUAUCAGUUAUUUCACUUUCGUUAUUUUUCAAUCUCGGUUUGUAUAUAAAGUUACUUUCUCAUGUAUAUAUUCAUUCCCCGUUAUGUAUAUUCAUCUAAAUCCCCUAUUGUAUAUAUUCACUUUACUUUCCGUAUUUUACUUCAUAACUUCUUUUGCAAUUUUCCUUAAUAGAAUAGCUUCUUAUUUUAUUUAGUAGCUUCUUUUUAGUUUGUAGUUUCUUAGUUUUACAAGUUUUCGUAAUUAAUAAGCCUUUGGUUUUCUUAAUGCCACGGUUCAUUCCAAAGGUGGAGUUUGUGUGAAUAGGGUGGCUCUUCCCGAUGAUGGAUAGCAUGAUAACCUUCUUAAGGGUUUGAGUCUUCUUUCUUUUUGUUUUUGUAUAAAUAGUAGCUAGUGAACAAUAGUACCUCAGUCAAAGCUUCACUUGGGCCUAACACAUUUACCUUUGAUGUUAUGGUUAAAAACAAAUUGGUGUGUAUAGGAUGGUGAUUGUUGUGACCUUGAGACUCUUGUGUUGACUAAACAAUCAUCAAAUGGUUUCUUAGAACCAUUUGUGUUGCUCAAAUCUUAGCUAAUGUUAUUGUGGGCCCUCGACUCUGUCUAUUUAGCAAUCUUGUAGCUUGUGUGGUGAGGUUUUAAAUUGCAAGUCCAAGUCCAAGUCCAGUGCCAAUAAGUCUAGAACUUUGCCCUGAAUCUUUGUCUAAACAAAAUCAUAAGUGUAGCUCGGCUUGAGAAGUGAUUAUAGGCUCUCCAUGAUCUUUAUUGAGACUUGAAAACAUCCAUAGCCGACCAAUAAUGAUAUCCCUAGUCAAUCCCAUUGAGCCAUAAACCUUAUUCUUCCAAAAACCAUGAUACAAGCCUUUAUCUGUUUUAAAAUGAUACUCUCUUGACACCUGAUCUUUCCUUUAGCACAAAUUGGCAAAAGUAUAAGUUUGGGGGAUGAGACGAGGUAGGCAAAACUGAUAAAAGGUACAAAACGGAAGAAAAGGGAAGGAAAAAGAAAAAAAAGCCAAAAAGUCACAAGAAUAAAGAACAAAGAUGAAAGGAUUGGAAGGACUAGAAAGGAGAAAAAGGAUUGAUAUGAACAAGAAAGAGUGACGGCGUGUCUCUCUAGUCCCCUAGGGAAGAAGUAAAUGACUCAAAGAGUCAAGAAAAUAUGAGUCAAAAUGAAGUAAAUGAAGUGCUUAAGGAAAGGCGAAACCUUCAUAGAUCAAUAUAUCAUGCUUUGAACCAAAAGCCUUCAUCACAUUCUUGCAAAAGCCCUAUAUGAUCUUGAGUUGAGUGAGCUUACAUUAGUGGUGACUCACAUAAGGGCAAGCUUAUGGUACUUAGAGCCGGACUUGUGACUUUCCUUUGAGAAGAUGAGUGCAUUUUUCACAAUCCUCGUUCUGAGUGCUACAAUCUAAAAGUGAGGUUUGCUUAUGGAGAGUUGAGGAUUAUGAGUUUGGGUUCCACAACGACCAAUGUAGUAGACAGAGUUUCCUUGAUGAGUUUAGUUAACUCUUGAUGCUUUUGUGUCGCACUAAAGCCAUGGUGCUAAAAUGGUUGUGUAUUGUUAAUAAUGCAUCUGAGUUGAGAGUAAUUAUUAGUCCCAAUUGAUUCUUGAUGAGGUUACUUUAGGACAACUCAAAAUUUUCUUUUUUUUUCCUUGAGGAGGUGGAAAUUACUUUGUUUGCUUGAGGACAAGUGAUCGAAGCCAACCCUGCACUACUAUUGAGUAGCGAGAGAGGUCGAAGCAGCUUUUACCCGAUUAAGGUCAGGAUCGAUUUUCACGGGGAGCUAGAAGUUGGAGUCGGGUGCCUAUCUAAAGUGGAAAUAAGUAUUUGCUCUUAGUUGCACUUCUAAACAUUUUGGGUUUUGAUUUACUUCUAAUUGUAUAGAACUACAAUAAUCAAUUAAACUAAAUAAGCUAAGAUUAAACUAUUGCGAGUUGUUCAAAUAGAUAAAAGGCACUAGGGUAGUGACUUUCGCCUAGGUGGUCAGUUGACGGAUACUUGAGUCUAAGGCAUGAUUGUCACAUUUGGGAGUAUGAUAUAACCAUUGCACGAUUCUACUCACUCUACACCUCUCGGUAGUUUGAGUGAUUUUGNNNNNNNNNNNNNNNNNNNNNNNNNNNNNNNNNNNNNNNNAAUCAAGGUUCAAGUCGGGUAUUACUAUCUCUAGGAUAAACCCUUUAAUUGGGGCUAUCAAUCUCUUGAGUACGCCCCAAUUCCUUAUUGGACCAAUUUCAGAGACUUAGGCUCUCUCUCUCUCUCAAGAAGAGCCAAAAUCAACUAAACACUAACUAGUGUUUGCAACCACUAAUUCAGCAAUCAAACAUGAAAUUAGUCCAAAUAUCAAACACCCGUGGUCAAUCAAGCCCUAAAACACAAGACCCAUCAAUUACCCACACUAGGAUUGAGCCACAACCCUAGCUUAUGGGUCUAGCUACUUAUAAUUAGAGAAGAAAACAAAGAAAUAGAUGAAGAAAAACUCAUAUUAAUUAAUUACUAAAUUAAUCUAGAAGAUUCAAUGUUGAAAUGAAGCUAAAAUUACUCAAAACAACUAAAAAUAUCGAAGUCACGAGCGCAACCCAGUACAAAAACUAUCUGAUGACCUAAAAAUGGGAAAAGAAGCUAUUUAUACUAAGCUGAAAAAUCUGGACAAAAAUACCCCUGCGGGGUUAGUGCGGACCGCACAAGAUCACGUGCAGCCACACUAGGGCUCUAAACUUGAAAAAACAGCUCUCUGAACUUGGGCAAUGCGAACCGCACAGAAUCGAGUGCGGCCGCGAUGGCUUCUAGUGCGGUCCGCAUGAAAUGGAGAGAGAACCGCAUUGGGCUUCAACUUGGAAUUGGCAACUCUCUAAACCUUGGCUCUGUGGACCACACUAAUCGAGUGCGGCCGCAUUGAUCCCAGUGCAGACCGCACAAAACCUCAUGCGGCCGCAUUGCCUUUUUUCCUUAAUAGCAGCCUCUCUAAACCUCACUUGUGCGGAUUACACAGAAUGAUGUGCGGCCACACUGGCCCUGUUUUGCCAGAUCUUGUCUUGUCUUGAUACUUGUGCAAGUUUCACUCCUUUUUGAGAUGAUCUUUGACAUCUUGUCACCUUGUUGAUCAAAUCUGCAAUCAAGCACAACUUGUGAGCCUUUUUGGGAUUAUUUUGUACAGAUUUCUAAUCAAAACUUUAGCAUGAAGGAGUAUAAAAUGUAUCAAAAUCCCUAUUUAUCAACUCCCCCAAACUUAAGCUUUUGCUUGUCCUCAAGCAAACAAAAUAAGACCUACCCCUUAAGAGAGAAUCCAAGAAAAUUUAGCUAUCCUAAAGUGACCUCAUCUAGCAUCAAUUGGGACUAUAAUUUCCCUCAAUACAAAUGAAUCAUUAACAACAUUUACUCUUUUAAACACCAUGGAUUAAAUGCGACACAAGAGCAUCAAGAGUGGACUCAGCACAUCAAAUAACUCUUUCUAUUACUUUGGUCAUUGUGGAACCCAAACUCACACAUCCUCAGCUCUCCCUAAGCAAACCUCACCUUUAGAAUAGUAGCACUCAGAAUGAGGUUAAUAAAAAAUCACUCAUCUCUCUCAAGGAAAAGUCACAAGUCCGGAUCUAAGUACCAUAUGCUUGCCCCUUAUGUGAGUCACCACUAAUGUAAGUUUCAUUCAACUAGAGAUCAUAUAAGGCUUUUGUGGAGACAUAGUGAAGGCUUUUAGUUCCGGGUAGGCAAUGUUUGGUCUAAUUAAGUUCCAUCUUCCCUUAAGCACUUCUUUUGUUUCAUUUUGGCACAAAUUUGCUUGACUUUUUGAGUCUUUUAACUUCUUUCUAAGGGGUUAGAGAGACACACUGUCACUCUUUCUUAUACAUUUCAAAUCUUUUCUCCUUUCUCAACUUUCCACAACUUUCAUUCUUUGCUUUUUUGAAUCCCUUUUUAUUCAAUUCUACAUUGAGCAUUCUUUUAGUCUUUUUGCUUUUGUUUCUUUUUCAUUGCCUUUCCUUUUAUUCAUUUUGUACCUUUUUACCACUUUGUUGCCAUCCUCAUCUCUCCCCCAAACUUAUACUUUUGUCAUGUGUUAAGGAAACAUCGGGCGCCAAGAGAGGGUAUCUUUUAGAACAGGUAAAGGCUUGUAUAAUGGUUCUUGAAGGAAAAAGGUCUAAGGCUCAAAUGGGUUGACUAGGGAUUUUAUCAUUGGUAGGCUAAGGGAGUGUUCAAGCUAUCAUUUGGGUCAAGGAGAGCCUAUAAUCAUGUCUCAAGUCAAAAUUCACUUAGGAUUUCACCUCAACAAACAUUCAAGGCAAGUUCUAGACCAAUGGCUCGGGACUUGGACUUGCAAUGCAAUUUCUCACCACACAAGCUAUGGGAUCACUAAAGACAUAGAGUCGGGGGCCCACAACGACCUUAGAUAAGAUUUGAGCACACAAUGGUCCCGAAAAACCACUUGAUGAUUAUCGGUUAACACAAGAAUCUCAAGGUCAUGACUUUCACCAUUCUAAACACAACAAUUUGUUUUUGACCAUGAGAUCAAAGGCAAAUGUGAUAGGCCCAAGUGAAGCUUUGCUUGAGUCACCCUUAACUACUAACUACUAAAAGAAAAAGAAAAACGGACUCAAACCCUUAAGAAGGUUGUCAUGCCAUCUAUCAUUGGGAAGAGCCACCCGGUUCACACAAACUCCACCUUUGGAAAGAACCGUGGCAUUAAGAAAACCAAAGUCUUAUUGCAAACAUUCAAAACAAGAAGCUAUGAACAUAAGUAAGAAACUACAGAAAAGAAAAAUGCGGAAAGUAAAAUGAAUAUUUACAAGAGGGUAUUUGAUCGAAUAUACAAUAGAGAGGAUGAAUAUAUACAAUGUAACAUAAACGCUAUAUACAGACCCAAAGUAAAAAGUACGAGAAAUGUAAAGAAAUGAUAAAAUUAUACAUACCAAAGAUGAAAAAUAAAGAAAAUAUAAAAUUUUCAAAUAUAUACAUGCAUUCAAAUCAAUAAAAGUAGGACCUACCCCCUCAAAUGAAAGAUGACAUUGUCCUCAAUGCCAACUAAACAAAAUAAGCACCAAAAAUAAGAGGGAAACGAAUAUAGAGACUCCCUAUGGCCCAUAUGUCUGCAUGAUAUCCUGAGUGGUCCCUGGGUCCUCAAUAUGCUCGGGAACCUCAGACUGGUUCCCUAUGGCCUGCUGCUCUGCUGUUGGGACCUGGGCUUAGACCUGGACAGACUCCUGGGCUGCAUCCUGUGGCUGACUAGAAGAGGUCUCCAGUGGGUCUGCCAAUUGGAUGACUGCAUCAUCUGCUCGGGGAAUCAUCCUCUUCCUCUUGGGAGGCCUCUGGGACUGCUCUGGCCGAGUAUGAGCUGCUGGCACAAGGUCCUAUAGCAAUAAAUCCAAAGGCAGAUGAUCUGCCUUCAACCUGUCAACCUCAACCCUCAACUCCUUCACGGACUGCUUGGAAGCCCGAGUCUUACUCAUAUUCUUGGCCUCCCUAGCAAGCUCCUAGAGAGCUUUCCCAUGAGAAUCCACAACGUCAGUAAGAACUUUCUGAGUGUUAAGGAUUUUCUUCUGGUUGUCCAGAAUAUCCUUGAGGGCAUCCUCAAUAGACUGUGGAACCUGUGUAGGUGGAGGUGCCGACUGAGCUGCCACUGUAGUAGUAAGGGCAGACAACUUAGAGGAAGCUAUCUGCAUCUAGUUGUUUUUGCUGAGAAGGGCCCGGAUCAGAUGGUGGGUGGUCACUGGGUGGGCCGUGGUAGAGGGUAUGUCUGGAACUGCUGAAGUGGAUGGACCAAGGUGAAUGUCCGCUGAGGUGGAAGAAGACUGAGUAGGAGCCACUACCACUACUAGCUCUUCAGACUGGCCAGUUGGAGCAGUGGCUGUUCCCUUGUAGUUCUUGCUUUUUGGGUUGUCAUCACCCUGCAUGCUAUACCAUGAGAACGGGGCCUUUGCUUUUACUUUGAUAUCUAAUGGCCGCUUUUCUACUUUUAGGUUCGUAAAGUACAUGGUUAAAAAACUGGGGAAGGGGUAGUUUCUAUCACCUUCAUUGACUACCUGUGUAAUCACCCGAGACAUCACCUUCCCGAUGUUAAUUGGGUACCUCGCCAUGAUUGAUGCUACCAAUACUGCUCGGUGAAGAGGGAGUGAGUUUUCAUGAGAAGUGGGGUCCAAUCUGCUGCACACGAAUGUUUCCCACCCCUUGGCCUUGAAAUUCAAACUUCUCCUCAAAAUUUUCACUCCCACAUUCAACCAAUCGAGGGUGGUACCUGGGAUUGCCAUAUACUGUGCCAACCAAGGACGGACCUCCUCACCUAAUUCCAUCAUUGCCAAAUACAACGACUCAUCCUCCUCAUCGAAGCCGAAGUAUUCAUUUAUUAUUUUUUCCAUCAAACAACACUUUCAAAUUGCGCACCUUGGUCACUUUGGUGCCCUUCUUGAUGUGGGCAAAUUGGUGUAGAAUUCCUUGACCAGGUGCUCGUUUGCAUCCUCACAGUUGUUUAAGAAAUACUCCCAGCCCACUUUCUCUCUAAACUGUCUUCUCACAUUGGGGUUGUGAGGCAAGAGGUCUCUAUCAGCAAAACUCCUCUCCGGAAUCAAUUUCCUCACAGGCCACCAUUCCCUGAAUUUAUGGUAGGCUACCUCACUCACAAACCGGUCUUGCCACACAUUUAGUUUUCUAGUUCUAGCAAUUCCUCCCACCUGAAGUUCACCCCUUCUCCUACUACCUCGUCUUCUCCUGCUGCCUCAUUUUCUCCUACUGUACCCUCUCCGGAUAAUGAAGCUAUGGAAGAGGUGGAGUAUGUAUCCCCACCGCCUUUAGCUAAGCCCUCAAACGACCUAGAAGAUACAUUUACUAACGCUUGGGCAGUGGGGGAAAAUGGAGGAGUGUCUCUUAGUCUAUUUCUCUUCGGCCAGUCAAGGAUGUACUCUGGGAUUGAAUUUCAAGAUAUAUCCCGAGAGGGCUCGUAUUCACACCCAGACUGGUCAAUGGCCCUAUCAGCAGCUUUAAUGAGCUUCCCCAUGUUUUUAAUGUUUUGCUGGGCUUGGGGAGUCAAUCUUAGCAUCUUCUAUUUCCCUCCUCAGGAGGAUUCUCCUCUACCAGCUUAUUUAGAACCCUUGCCUCUUUGUUUCACCAUUGUCUGCAAACAACAGUCAUUACGCUUGUUAGUAUCCAGAAAGACAGUGAAGUUCACAGUUGCAAGAAAUAAAAUGUUGCAGAUAGUAUCAAAAUGUUGUAGAGUGCGGACCGCACAAAAUGUAGUGCGGCCGCACUGAGGCCAAUGCGGACCGCACAAAAUGCCAAUGCGGUCUGCAUAGAGGUAGGGGUCAAACUACCCACUCUCUGAACAUCACUCCGCGGACCGCACAAAAUGCCAAUGCGGUCCGUAUUGAGGCACCACGAACUACACAAAAUGCAAUACGACCGCGGUCCUCAAUGAUCAGAUUACAGAACUUGUAGCAAUGCGGUCCGCACAAAAUUCCAUUGCAGAUUGCUCAAGAGCACCGCGGACGACACAAUUUCCACCGCGGUCCGCACUGAGUGCCCAGUCACAGCACUAACUUAGGGUUCAAGAUAAUUUGAUUUUUAGUCCAAUUUUACACCUAAGAAAGGUCCCUAAGUGUUUGCCCAGUAUUUUUAACUACCCAAUCUAAGAAUAAACAAGAAUUUACUAACUCUAGUCUACAUUACUGAAAGAAAUAAGGGUAUGGCAAGACGAAGAAUAAGAAAAGAAAAACAUAAAAGAAAAUAACAAAAUUACAACAAUUAAAAAGAAGUUAAAGUUACCAGUUGUUAGAAGAACUGAAGAUUAAUGAUUCCUAGUAGUUAAUUAAGUGCAAUAGGGAUGAUGAACAAUGAUUUUAUGAGUUCUGAGAGCAAAAAGAUCGAAAAGUUCAAAUGUUGGGUCUCAGGUACUAUUUAUAGAAAAGGUUCUGGUGCCUAGCUUACCUACCCUAAUGCGGACUGCACAAAAUGGCAAUGCGGUCUGCACUGCUCAAAGUCACAAGAUUCAGACAAGGCAGCCACUGCAGUCCGCACAAAAUUCAUUGCGGCCGCACUGGACCACCGCGGACCGCACUAAAUGCAUUGCGGCCGUGGUGGUAAACUUCAAAGAGCAGGUCUUUUACUCCUUCAUCAGUGCAGUCCGCACUAAGUUUGUACCCCCCGCAUUAGGUUCUCUACGGCCGCACAAAAUGUAGUGCGGUCCGCAUUGCAAACUUCAGAGACUUGACAUUUAUUUUUCCACUUUGUCCUGCGCUGCAUCAACACAAACCUGUACCAUCUCACAACCAAUCAGUCCAAAAAUAAAUCCUAUCCUAUAAUGAAAAUCAAAGAAAAAUAAGAAGAAGAACACAUGGGUUACCUCCCAAGAAGCUCCUGAUUUAACGUCGCGGCACGACGCAGGUUACCAUCAAAUCAUUUGAGAUGAAGAAGUGCCACCACGUGGCUGUCAUCAAUUUUUCCCAAGUAGUGCUUGACCCUAUGCCCAUUCACUCUGAAAACUUUCCCAUUUUUGUUCUUUAAAUCAAGUACACGAAACUGGGUCAGACACACCACUUCAAAAGGUCCACUCCAUUUUGACUUAAGUUUUUCCAAAAACAGACGUAACCGAGAGUUGAACAAGAGAACCAAAUCACCCAUUUUGAACUCCUUGCUACGAGCAUAUUUAUCAUGAAGGUACUUCUUGUCCUUGUACAAGGAAGAACUGAAGUAGGCAUGGAAUCAGAAUUCAUCAAGUUCAUUAAGGUGCUCCACACGAAGAUUGGCUACAACAUCCCAUUCAAGAUUUAGCUUCCUCAAAGCCCACAUGGCCUUGUGCUUUAACUCAACCGGUAGAUGGUAAGCUUUCCCAAACACAAACCGAUAUGGAGACAUACCAAUCAGAGUCUUGUAAGCAGUCCUAUAAUCCCAUAGAGCGUCAUCCAACUUCUUUGACCAAUCCGUCCUAUUUGCAUUGACCGUCUUUGACAAUAUGCUCUUGAUUUCCCUCUUGGAGACUUCAACUUGGCCACUCGCUUGAGGAUGAUAGGGAGUNNNNNNNNNNNNNNNNNNNNNNNNNUCACUUAUGAUUGCACGAGGAGUACCAAACCUUGUAAAAAUGCUCUUCUUGAGAAAUGCAACAACAUUCCGGGCCUCAUUGUUGGGCAAAGCCACGGCUUCAACCCACUUUGAGACAUAUUUGACCGCCUUAAGAAUGUAUGUGUUCCCACACGAGCUAACAAACGAGCCCAUAAAAUUAAUGCCCCAUACAUAAAAAAUAUCAACCUCAAGAAUCGUAUUGAGAGGCAUCUCAUCUUUCUUCGAAAUUCCACCCGCUCUUUAACAUUCGUCACACCUCUUCAUGAGUUCACUUGCAUCUUUGUACAAAGUUGGCCAAUAAAACCCACAAUUGAGAACUUUGGAAGCCGUCCUCGCUCCGCCAUGAUGGCCACCAUAGGGAUAGGAAUGACAAGCCUCCAAGAUACUCAAUUGCUCUUCCUCCGGGACACACCUUCGUAUUAUACCAUCCGUGAAAAAUCUUGAACAAGUACGGCUCAUCCCAAUAGAAAUCCAAACUAUCCCGCUUGAGCUUCUUCCUUUGGUUAGAAGAGAGCUCACACGAGAUUAUACCAGUCACAAGGAAAUUAGCAACAUCCGCAAACCAUGGCAUAUCAUUCAUCGACACCGAAAGGAUUUGUUCGUCGGGAAAUGAAUAAUUGAUCUCUAGGCCAUCACGAGGCCUCCCCUCCUCCUCCAAGAGGGACAAGUGGUCCGCCACUUGGUUUUCACUACCUCUCUGGUCCACAAUCUCCAAAUCAAACUCCUGAAGUAAUAAGACUCAUUGCAUCAGUCUAGCUUUGGAAUCCUUCUUCGUCAUCAAGUACCGAAGUGCGGCAUGUUCGGUAUGAAUAAUAACCUUAGCACCCAUGAGAUACGGCCGAAAUUUUUCCAUUGCGAACACAACAGCCAAAAUUGUUUUCUCGGUCACCGUGUAGUUCACUUGAGCAUCAUUCAUUGUCUUACUCGCAUAGUAUACUGGAUAAAACAUUUUGUUCACUCUUUGACCCAAAACUGCCCCAAUCGCAACAUCGCUCGCAUCACACAUGAGCUCAAAGGGUAAGCUCCAAUUGGGUGCAGUAAUGAUAGGAGUGGUGGUCAACUUAUGCUUGAGAAGUUAAAAGGCUUGCAUACAUUUUUCAUCAAACACGAACUUGGCAUCUUUUUCCAACAACUUGCACAAUGGAUUUACCACCUUCGAAAAGUCUUUGAUAAACCUCUGGUAGAACCCCGCAUGCCCAAGAAAACUUUAAACUCCCUUCAUAGAUGUAGGGGGAGGGAGCCUUGAAAUCACAUCAAUUUUUGCUUUGUCUACCUCAAUACCAUGCUUUGAAUUUUAUGCCCAAGAACUAUGCCCUCUUCCACCAUAAAGUGGCAUUUCUCCCAAUUGAGAACAAGAUUGGUUUCUUCACAACGGGCUAAAACUCUUUCAAGAUUCUUCAAGCAUCCAUCAAAUGAAUCUCCCACAACACUGAAGUCGUCCAUGAACACCUCCAAAAUAUCUUCCACCAUAUCGGUGAAAAUGGCCAUCAUACACCACUGGAAUGUUGUCGGUGCAUUACACAACCCAAAAGGCAUCUUAGAGAAAGCAAAGGUGCCAUAUGGACAAGUGAAUGUGGUCUUCUCCUAAUCUUUCGGAGCAAUCAAGAUUUGGUUGUACCCAGAAUACCCAUCCAAGAAACAGUAGAAGGCACGCCCAGCAAAUCAGUCUAACAUCUGAUCAAGAAAAGGCAAAGGAAAGUGAUCCUUGCGGGUCACUUUAUUCAACUUGUGGUAGUUCAUGCAUACCCUCCAACCGGUGACGGUUCUGGUAAGAAUCAACUCAUUUUGUGAAUUUGCAACCACGGUAAUGCCACCCUUCUUCGGUAUACAUUGCACCGGUGAAGUCCAAGAGCUAUCAGAGAUGGGGUACACAACCCCGACAUCCAACCACUUGAUCACCUCCUUUUUUCACAACUUCUUGCAUUGCCUCUUUCAACCUCCUUUGACGUUCCAAGGAGGGCUUUGCAUCAUUUUCCAAAAUAAUCUUGUGUAUACAGAAUGCAGGGCUUAUCCCCCGAAUAUCAGCUAAAAUCCAUCCAAUUGCCUUUUUCCGCUUUUGAAGCACCGCCAAUGUGGCAUCAACCUGCAUGUUAGUAUGAAAAGAGGAAAGAAUAACUGGCAAAGUAGAAUUUGAGCCUAAGAACUCAUACCUAAGGUGUGAAGGCAGUGGUUUCAAAUCCAACACCGGAGGCUCCUCAAUUGAAGGUUUUGUUGGUGGAGUCUUCCUAUUCUCGAGGUCCAAAGACAAUUUCCUGGGCUCAUAAGAGCAUUUACGCACUCCACUCGGCCCUCAUCAUCACUGACAGCAAGAUUUAACAAUACGAGCUCCAAUGGAUCCUCCACAUUAAUCAUUGUACUGGUGUCAUCAACUAUCACUGCUGUGACGAGGUCCACAAAAGAGCACACCUCGGUACUAUUAGGUUGCUUCAUUGAUUUGGAAACAUAAAAGUCCACUUUUUCAUCACCCACUCGGAAGGUGAGUUACCCUGCUUCCACAUCAACUAAGUCCUUCCCCGUAGCAAGUAAAGGUCUCCCCAAAAUGAUAGGAACUUUAUAAUCCACCUCACAAUCCAAGAUCACAAAGUCAGCUGGCAAGAUAAAUUUGUCCACCUGGACAAGAACAUCAUCAAUAAUACCCAAUGGUCUCUUCAUCAUUCUAUCUGCCAUUUGCAAUCUCAUGGAAGUCGGCCUAGGUUACCCAAUACCCAAAGUUUUGAAAACUGAGUAGGGCAUCAAAUUGAUACUAGCCCCCAAAUCACAUAGAGUCUUAGCAAAAUCCGCACUCCCAAUGGUGCAAGAAAUGGUGAAAGAACCGGGAUCUUCAAGCUUCAGGACCAUUGAAUGCACUAUUGCACUAACUUGAUGAGUCGUAUUUAUAGUUUCACAAUCCAUAGACCGCUUCUUUGUCACCAAGUCCUUCAUGAAUUUAGCAUAGCCCAGCAUUUGUUCAAGAGCCUCCACCAAAGGCACAUUAAUGGAUAAGCUCUUCAUCAUGUCAAUGAACUUUUUAAACUGAUUCUCAUUUUUUUGCUUUGCGAGCCUUUGAGGAUAAGGUGGAUGUGGCCUUGGCAAAGGAGCCUUGGCUUUUGGCACAACCGGUUCCGGCAUGUCUAUUAUGUGUUCCCUAGAGGGGUUCAAAUCAUUUUGAGUUUCCACCUCAGCAUUUUGAAUAUCAAUCCUCACUUCUUCAUUUACAUUGUCAUCAAUCAUAUUUUCAACCACUAAUGGAACUUCAUCUUCUUGCAACUCAACAUCAUCACUCAAAACUUGCUUUUGUUUGGAGGCAUUCACAUCACCUCCUCGUCCACUCCUUAUAGUCAUUACCAUAACAUGAUUGUUCCCACCCUUCGGGUUCACUACCGAAUCACUUGGUAGAGCACCUUUAGGGCGAGUAUUCAAGGACUAUGAGAUUUGGCCCAACUGAACCUCCAAAUUCCGAAUCGAGGUAUUGUAGGAAGACAACUUAGCAUCGAAAUCUGCACUCUUUUCUAUCAUAUGUUCGAACAUCAUUUCAAUUCUCCCCAUAUCAUUGCUAUAAAAACUGGGACCUUGAGAUGAAAAUGGGGGUGGAUUGUUCGGUUGUUGGUACAUUGAGGGCCUUUGAAAGCCUUGUCCCCUAUUUCCUUGGUUUCCAUUAUUCCAUCAACCUUGAUUGUUGUUACCACCCCAAUUAUUAUUACCAUUUUAAUUUCCUUGAUUGUUUUAAUUGUUGUUCUGAUUUCCCCAGUUGGAGUUUUGGUUGUUAUUCCCCCAAUUACCAUUUCCUUGUUGUUGUUGAUUGCCCCAAUUGUCUUGGGGUCUCCAUUGUUGUUGGUUGGAAGAAUUGCCCCUUUGGCAUUGAUAAUUACUCAUGUAUUGCACCUCUUCACUUUGUCCAUCAAAACCAUCAUCUUGAAAUCCACCAUAAUCAUUGUCAAAUUGCUCCGAAUUCCCUUGGUUCUGUUGACCUCUUUGUCUUCUUUUGUUGACAAACAUGUUAACACCCUCCAUGACAUUCACUUGGAGAGGAUUUUGAACCUGUUGCAACCGUGCCUUUGCUAGUUGGUUCAUGGUAGUUGUCAACUCAGCAAUAGCCUGCCCAUGAUCAUGUAACUACUUAUGCAAAUGAGUGACUGUGGGGUCACCCUAGGGCACGUUGGCUCUACUUUGCCAUGCAGAAGAAGUGUCAGCCAUCUUGUCAAGAAUGUCACAAGCCUCAUCAUAAGACAACUUCAUAAAGUGUCCCCCAGCAAGUUGGUUCACUAUGCAUUGGUUUAUUGUAAUAAUGCCCCGAUAAAAGGUUUGUUGGAUCAUUGCCUCAAUCAUAUCAUUAUUGGGGCAUUCCUUCACCAUUGUUCUAUAACGCUCCCAAAUCUCAUGCAAAGGUUCCGUGGGCUCUUGCCUGAACGCCAAGAUCUCAUCUCUCAAUGCAGCCAUAUGCCCUAGUGAGAAAAAUUUCGCAAUGAACUUAUCCGCCAACUCAUCCCAAGUAGUGAUGGAAUGGUUGGGAAGUCGCUCAAGCCAAUCAAGUACUUUCCCUCUAAGUGAAAAUGGGAAGAGUCACAACCGGAGAGCAUCCUCGGACACAUUUGUUUGCUUGCUCCCCCAACAUGUAUCCACGAACCCCUUGAGAUAUUUGUAAGCAUUUGAUUUGCAGCGUCCAUGAAAUACCCACGCUGCUCUAGCAAAGUCAACAUCACAUUGGUUAUACGAAAAUUUCCCGCCCGGAUUCGGGGUGACACAAUAGCACUUGCAUAGCGCUGGUUUAGAAGCACUCUAGGAGCCACUCUUGGAGGUGGCGGGGGUNNNNNNNNNNNNNNNNNNNNNNNNNNNNNNNNNNNNNNNNNNNNNNNNNNNNNNNNNNNNNNNNNNNNNNNNNNNNNNNNNNNNNNNNNNNNNNNNNNNNNNNNNNNNNNNNNNNNNNNNNNNNNNNNNNNNNNNNNNNNNNNNNNNNNNNNNGGUUAAACCUAGAGAUAGUAAUACCCGACUUGAGCUAAUUUUGCUUGCAUUAUUUAAACACCCAAUUGGGCUUGAGAAAGUCAAUUAGAGCAAAGUCACUCAAACUAUCGAGAGGUAUAGAGUGAGUAACUAUGUCCAAUGGUUAUAUCAUGAUCCCAAUCACAAGAAGUUUACCCUAAGUUUUUGACCCCGUUAGAUACCCACCUUAGGUGUAAGUCACUUUCCUAGUGUCUUUUUACCAAUUGAGAAAAUAUUACAAAAAUAUCAUGCUUAGCUUAUUUUCAUUCUUCAUUAAUGUUAAAAGUAGAAUAUUAACCCAAAAAAAA
This 29829-nucleotide long non-coding RNA is filed under the name Nicotiana tabacum (common tobacco). RNAcentral describes it as "long non-coding RNA (NTAB_LNC013623)". Lineage: Eukaryota; Viridiplantae; Streptophyta; Magnoliopsida; Solanales; Solanaceae. The record is from RNAcentral.